RNAcentral lists this unclassified non-coding RNA (166 nucleotides) under soil metagenome. RNAcentral's name for it is "partial contains 5.8S ribosomal RNA, internal transcribed spacer 2, and large subunit ribosomal RNA". The record is from RNAcentral.
AACGCACGAGACCUGCGGACCUGCGGAGGGAUCAUUAGUGAACGCCCUCACGGGCUUAUAACUAUUCCAAACCUCUGUGAACCGUGCCCUUCGGGGCUAUUUUACAAACAUGGUGUAAUGAACGUCAUAUAUCAUAACAAAACAAAACUUUUAACAACGGAUCUCU